UGGGGAAUAUUGGGCAAUGGGCGCAAGCCUGAUCCAGCCAUGCCGCGUGUGUGAAGAAGGCCUUCGGGUUGUAAAGCACUUUUGUCCGGAAAGAAAUCCUUGGCUCUAAUACAGUCGGGGGAUGACGGUACCGGAAGAAUAAGCACCGGCUAACUACGUGCCAGCAGCCGCGGUAAUACGAAGGGUGCAAGCGUUAAUCGGAAUUACUGGGCGUAAAGCGUGCGUAGGCGGUUUCUUAAGUCUGCUGUGAAAUCCCCCGGGCUCAACCUGGGAAUGGCAGUGGAUACUGGGAGGCUAGAGUGUGUCAGAGGGUGGUGGAAUUCCCGGUGUAGCGGUGAAAUGCGUAGAGAUCGGGAGGAACAUCAGUGGCGAAGGCGGCCACCUGGGACAACACUGACGCUGAGGCACGAAAGCGUGGGGAGCAAAACAGGAUUAGAUACCCUGGUAGUCCACGCCCUAAACGAUGCGAACUGGAUGUUGGUCUCAACUCGGAGAUCAGUGUCGAAGCUAACGCGUUAAGUUCGCCGCCUGGGGAGUACGGUCGCAAGACUGAAACUUAAAUGAAUUGAC
RNAcentral lists this ribosomal RNA (570 nucleotides) under uncultured bacterium. Its description in RNAcentral is "partial 16S ribosomal RNA". It matches the Rfam family "Bacterial small subunit ribosomal RNA", at positions 355 to 914 of the family's 1533-position model. The record is from RNAcentral.